Drosophila willistoni is the source of this 759-nucleotide long non-coding RNA. RefSeq lists it as uncharacterized. Lineage: Eukaryota; Metazoa; Arthropoda; Insecta; Diptera; Drosophilidae. The record is from RefSeq and is a predicted model, not a curated record. The transcript has 4 exons.
UAAUAUUCUUUACGAAAGUGAAACUCAACAAAUAAAUAAAUGGCUGAUAAAGCAAACUCAUUCAUUAGUUUGUAUAUAAAUCAGUAAUACUCAGAAUAUAUGCCGAUUAAUUAUAUUUUCUAUUAAACUACACAUACAUGUGUAUAUUAUAACAUCAAUUUAAUAACGACUAAAUUGAAAUCCAAUACAAAAUGUGUUUAAAUGGAAACCAUAAACUAAUUAAACCUGUUAAGUCGUUUUAUUUCCUAUCAAUAUGGAUUUCACAUAAAUUUUAUAUAACUACGCAUACAUACAUACAUAUGUCUGUACCCUUUAGUACCAAAUUGUCGCCGUUAACAAUGUCGCCCAAUUGUCCUAGCCACAGACGUCGGCAGAGAAAAAUUCUGCCAGCGUUUUUCAUGCUGAGGUUAGCCGACGGCAGUGAAAAAGUAUUAGUGAUUUCUAAUUGAUUUUUGAUAUAAAUAAAGCAACUGGUUUAGAAAUAAUUGACUUCAAGAACAGCAUUACGUCGGAAAUUCAUAAAAGCUAACCUCUCAAGUAGCUGGAGACAACUCUCUCUUGUGAAGAGGCACAACCUGGACAAGAAAUACAAAAAGUUGAGCCUUGGAACCUAUCUUAAGGCUUUGAAUAUUCUUCUCGAAGCAGUUUAAAACACUUUCCCGGGGCAGCCUCCGGAAGUUGGGCUUAAGAAUGCAAUGGCCUGAGCUUAAAAUAUGGACAACAAAACAAAAAAUUGAAAAUUGAAGCAGCAGCUGUUAA